CGCCUUUUGAAUUAUCAACAUAAAAGGUCCUGCCUGCCCAGUGACAUCUGUUUCAACGGCCGCGGUAUUAUGACCGUGCAAAGGUAGCGUAAUCACUUGUCUUUUAAAUAAGGACCAGUAUGAAUGGCAAAACGAAACCUAACUGUCUCCCUAAGUUAGUCAAUAAAAUUGAUCUUCCCGUGCAGAAGCGGGAAUUAUAAUAUAAGACGAGAAGACCCUGUGGAGCUUUAAACUUAAACUAACAAACUAUAAAUGUACUAGCAUCAGGUUUUAGGUUGGGGCGACCAUGAGGUAUAACACAACCCUCAAGACGAAAACUAAGAAGGACACUUCAAAUAAAUAUUAAUAACGCAAUUGACCCAAUAAUUGAUCAACGAACCAAGUUACCCCAGGGAUAACAGCGCAAUCUACUCAAAGAGCCCUUAUCGACGAGCAGGUUUACGACCUCGAUGUUGGAUCAGGACUCCCAAAUAAUGCAACAGUUAUUAAAGGUUCGUUUGUUCAACGAUUAAAGUCCU
This 518-nucleotide ribosomal RNA is filed under the name Pseudoeurycea lineola. RNAcentral's name for it is "partial 16S ribosomal RNA". It matches the Rfam family "Bacterial large subunit ribosomal RNA", at positions 1817 to 2597 of the family's 2925-position model. The record is from RNAcentral. Lineage: Eukaryota; Metazoa; Chordata; Amphibia; Caudata; Plethodontidae.